AUGCCAUAUAGGUACAAAAGCUUUUAACCCGGUGUUUGCUUGGCACUUGACAAAACUUUUGAAUUUUUUGUUAUGGUCACGUGUUAGCUGAAAAGAUGGAAAACUUAAUGCCAGUCAACCUAAAAUAGAUUCUUUAAAGGAGAUAUUUACAUGCAAAUAUAAUGCAAGUUAUACUGAUCUGUAUCUUUUCUUUGCUCCAGUAAGUACAAAGAUCUAUCCACUCUACCGUGGUCACAGAACUUGGCUUUGAGUCC
Molecule: long non-coding RNA, 254 nt
Filed under: Elaeis guineensis (African oil palm)
Lineage: Eukaryota; Viridiplantae; Streptophyta; Magnoliopsida; Arecales; Arecaceae
Description: long non-coding RNA (EGUI_LNC051997)
Source: RNAcentral